CAUGACUUUGAUCUGCGUCCUCAUCUGGACUCUCCUCUGCUGCUGCUUCACAGAGUCCAGAGGCCAGGUCACAGUGACUCAGCCUGGAGCAGUGAGCUCUGCUCUGGGAGGCUCCGUCUCCAUCAAAUGUACGACCAGUCAGGAUGUUCAUGUUUGGAGCAACAACCACCUUUUAGCCUGGUACCAACAGAGAGAUGGAGAAACUCAUAAAGUCCUCGUUUACUAUGCUAGCACUCGAGAAUCAGGGAUUCCAGAUCGUUUUACAGGCAGUGGAUCAAACUCUGACUUCACUCUGACCAUCAGUGGAGUCCAGACUGAAGAUGCAGCAGUUUACUACUGUCUGAGUAAUCACUAUAUCAACAGUCAGUGGUUGUUCACACAGUGGAAAAGCGUCGUACAAAAACCUCCCUCAGUCAGACUGAAC
Molecule: non-coding RNA, 424 nt
Organism: Micropterus salmoides (largemouth bass)
Lineage: Eukaryota; Metazoa; Chordata; Actinopteri; Centrarchiformes; Centrarchidae
Source: the annotation of a RefSeq genome assembly